RNAcentral lists this ribosomal RNA (791 nucleotides) under uncultured Thermotoga sp. Its description in RNAcentral is "bacterial SSU rRNA". It matches the Rfam family "Bacterial small subunit ribosomal RNA", at positions 8 to 795 of the family's 1533-position model. Lineage: Bacteria; Thermotogati; Thermotogota; Thermotogae; Thermotogales; Thermotogaceae. The record is from RNAcentral.
AGAGUUUGAUUCUGGCUCAGGGUGAACGCUGGCGGCGUGCCUAACACAUGCAAGUCGAGCGGGUACCCGCAAGGGUACCAGCGGCGCACGGGUGAGUAACACGUGGGUAAUCUACCCCUCGGAGGGGGAUAACCGGGGGAAACUCCGGCUAAUACCCCAUACGAUCCAACAACACAAGUUGUUGGAUGAAAGGAGCGUUUGCUCCGCCGAGGGAUGAGCCCGCGGCCCAUCAGGUAGUUGGUGGGGUAGUGGCCCACCAAGCCUACGACGGGUAGCCGGCCUGAGAGGGUGGUCGGCCACAAGGGCACUGAGACACGGGCCCUACUCCUACGGGAGGCAGCAGUGGGGAAUCUUGGACAAUGGGCGAAAGCCUGAUCCAGCGACGCCGCGUGGGGGAUGAAGCCCUUCGGGGUGUAAACCCCUGUUGCGAGGGAGGAAUAAGGCCUGGAGGAAAUGCCAGGCCGAUGACUGUACCUCGCGAGGAAGCCCCGGCUAACUACGUGCCAGCAGCCGCGGUAAUACGUAGGGGGCGAGCGUUACCCGGAUUCACUGGGCGUAAAGCGGGUGUAGGCGGCUCGGUAAGUCGGGUGUGAAAUCCCACAGCUCAACUGUGGAACUGCGCCCGAAACUGCUGAGCUUGGGGCCGGUAGAGGGAGACGGAACUGCCGGUGUAGGGGUGAAAUCCGUAGAUAUCGGCAGGAACGCCGGUGGGGAAGCCGGUCUCCUGGGCCGCGCCCGACGCUGAGACCCGAAAGCUAGGGGAGCAAACCGGAUUAGAUACCCUGGUAGUC